GCUUACGGCCACACCGCCUGGUUCACGCCCGAUCUCGUUUGAUCUCGGAAGCUAAGAUAGGUUGGGCCUGGUUAGUACUUGGAUGGGAGACCGUCUAGGAAUACCAGGUGCUGUAAGGC
Molecule: ribosomal RNA, 119 nt
Filed under: Scophthalmus maximus (turbot)
Lineage: Eukaryota; Metazoa; Chordata; Actinopteri; Pleuronectiformes; Scophthalmidae
Source: RNAcentral